GACGAACGCUGGCGGCGUGCUUAACACAUGCAAGUCGAACGGAAAGGCCCUGCUUUUGUGGGGUGCUCGAGUGGCGAACGGGUGAGUAACACGUGAGUAACCUGCCCUUGACUUUGGGAUAACUUCGGGAAACUGGGGCUAAUACCGGAUAGGAGCUCCUGCUGCAUGGUGGGGGUUGGAAAGUUUCGGCGGUUGGGGAUGGACUCGCGGCUUAUCAGCUUGUUGGUGGGGUAGUGGCUUACCAAGGCUUUGACGGGUAGCCGGCCUGAGAGGGUGACCGGCCACAUUGGGACUGAGAUACGGCCCAGACUCCUACGGGAGGCAGCAGUGGGGAAUAGUGCACAAUGGGCGGAAGCCUGAUGCAGCAACGCCGCGUGCGGGAUGACGGCCUUCGGGUUGUAAACCGCUUUCGCCUGUGACGAAGCGUGAGUGACGGUAAUGGGUGAAGAAGCACCGGCUAACUACGUG
Molecule: ribosomal RNA, 468 nt
Filed under: uncultured bacterium
Lineage: Bacteria
Description: partial 16S ribosomal RNA
Rfam family: Bacterial small subunit ribosomal RNA
Source: RNAcentral